This 253-nucleotide ribosomal RNA is filed under the name uncultured bacterium. RNAcentral describes it as "partial 16S ribosomal RNA". It matches the Rfam family "Bacterial small subunit ribosomal RNA", at positions 524 to 776 of the family's 1533-position model. The record is from RNAcentral.
CACGUAGGGCGCAAGCGUUGUUCGGAAUUACUGGGCGUAAAGGGCUCGUAGGCGGCCAACUAAGUCAGACGUGAAAUCCCUCGGCUUAACCGGGGAACUGCGUCUGAUACUGGAUGGCUUGAAUCCGGGAGAGGGAUGCGGAAUUCCAGGUGUAGCGGUGAAAUGCGUAGAUAUCUGGAGGAACACCGGUGGCGAAGGCGGCAUCCUGGACCGGCAUUGACGCUGAGGAGCGAAAGCCAGGGGAGCAAACGGG